UACAUGGGGUGCAAACGUUGCUCGGAAUUAUUGGGCGUAAAGCGCACGUAGGCGGUUCGUUAAGUCGGAUGUGAAAGCCCUCGGCUCAACUGAGGAAGUGCACCCGAAACUGGCGAGCUUGAGUACUUAAGAGGAUCGCGGAAUUCCCGGUGUAGAGGUGAAAUUCGUAGAUAUCGGGAGGAACACCAGUGGCGAAGGCGGCGAUCUGGGAAGAUACUGACGCUGAGGUGCGAAAGCGUGGGGAGCAAACAGG
RNAcentral lists this ribosomal RNA (253 nucleotides) under uncultured bacterium. RNAcentral describes it as "partial 16S ribosomal RNA". It matches the Rfam family "Bacterial small subunit ribosomal RNA", at positions 524 to 776 of the family's 1533-position model. The record is from RNAcentral.